GAGUUUGAUCUUGGCUCAGAUUGAACGCUGGCGGAAUGCUUUACACAUGCAAGUCGAGCGGCAGCGCGGGGCAACCUGGCGGCGAGCGGCGAACGGGUGAGUAAUGCAUCGGAACAUGUCCAUGUCGUGGGGGAUAGCCCGGCGAAAGCCGGAUUAAUACCGCAUACGCCCGAGAGGGGAAAGUGGGGGACCGCAAGGCCUCACGCGAUUGGGUUGGCCGAUGUCCGAUUAGCUAGUUGGUGGGGUAAAGGCCUACCAAGGCGAUGAUCGGUAGCUGGUCUGAGAGGAUGAUCAGCCACACUGGGACUGAGACACGGCCCAGACUCCUACGGGAGGCAGCAGUGGGGAAUUUUGGACAAUGGGGGCAACCCUGAUCCAGCCAUUCCGCGUGAGUGAAGAAGGCCUUCGGUUGUAAGCUC
This 419-nucleotide ribosomal RNA is filed under the name uncultured beta proteobacterium. RNAcentral's name for it is "bacterial SSU rRNA". It matches the Rfam family "Bacterial small subunit ribosomal RNA", at positions 9 to 433 of the family's 1533-position model. Lineage: Bacteria; Pseudomonadati; Pseudomonadota; Betaproteobacteria. The record is from RNAcentral.